CAAUUUUGAUUAUUGAAGAAGACUAGAUUCGAUAGAAAUUGACUAGCCUUAAUAUGCGUUAUAUUAAUUAAAAUUUGGUAGGUAAAAUGUAAGUAAUAGUAGUGAUUAAUAAAAUACAUCUCCGUGAGCAUAACUCAGCUGCCAAAGACAUGCAUUGUUAUAUGCAUGGAUCGGGGUUCGAACUCCGAACACCCAAUUAUUCACUUUAAAAAAAGGUGAAUUUUAACCAAUAAACUACUUAUAAAAGAAUACAUAAGAGAUAUAGAACGUAACCAUAAUUGAGGAGAAGCGUGGGUUGAUAGGGAUGAAGACAUCUUUGAGCAAAGGUAUAACCAGUGAGUUAUCAAAUGGAAUAGCAAACUCCAGAAAGCCAAAAACAUAUGAACAUAUGACAGAGCUGUUGAAAUAUUGUCCAUGGGGACUCACUGGCUCUUGAACUUCUUCAUAGAACUUGUCCAUUAUGGUCUGAUGUGUGUGUGCAAGAGAUUUUAUGACACUUCAAUUAGACACUUGGCUACAUAAAGUCUAAGUGGCACCAUAAUUUAUAGAGGUAUGUUACUUGAAACAAAUAUUUUAGGCAAUAUCCCUCAAAAAAAAAAAAUUAGGCAAUAAAAGAAUGUUGAAAAGAGUAAGUGUUUGAGAGAGCAUCUAAUAAAAGAGUGAGUAUUAGAGAUAGUGUUUAAAAGAAAAAUUUGCUAGCAUUCUCCGUAAUAAAAACAUAAUUAAUUGUGUUUCCGUGACCAUAACUCAAUUAGACCCUAGGCUACUUGACAAAAAAAAUAUAGGGUCAUGUUAACUUGUGCCCUAAAGGCAUAUGUUAAGGAACUCAAAAAGAGCAACUUUGCAUUGGAAAACAUAAUAUUUUACUCCCUCCGUUUUUAAAUAUAAUCAAAAAGAGUAACUUUUAAGAAGUCAAAUGUACGACUUUUGAUACGUUUAUUUCUAUAAUAAAUUCCUUAACAUGUGCCUUGAUGACACAAGUUAAGGUUUGCCAAAAAUAUAUAAUUAAUUCUUUACUGGUAUAAUAAUUAUGCAUGUUUUACGUUGAAUAAAUAACUAUGCAUGUUGAGCUUGUUUGCUUUCGCAUUUGAUCUUGUUAAAUAUAUUAACGUGUUUUGGGUGACAAAUCACACGUUACAAAAUCUUUUGAGUGAUCCUUAUGGAAGAAACUGCUGUGGAGAUGAAGAAAAAACGUGUUUGUUUGUGGUGAGUAGUGGCGUUGGCAUGACCUACUUCAACUUCAAGCAACCAAAGUAGUAUAAUACUACGUAUGUGCUGUCUUUCUUAUGUGUUAAUAUUGUUAAUCAGAAUCUGGAAAAUGAUAUCAGUUUUUGUUACCACGCAUGUGCAUGCCAGCAGUUGUCUCAAAUCUCAAUCUUCCAAGCUCUCUAAACAAGUUUAUGUUUUGAGUUUUGACGGUGGAAAUAUUUCUAAAAAACAGAAAACCACACUGGAAAUAUGUUUGGUUGAAUUUCUAAAUACAUUUUCAAUGAAAAUAUUUCUAGAAAAAAUAGAAAAAUUGGAAAACACGGUGGCAUAAUUGUAAAUAUAAUGACAUUGCUUUAUGUUUAGGCAUGACAAUCGAGCGGGGUGGGGACGGGUUUUACCUUCCACGUCCCCAUACCCUACUCUCACAUACUUACUCCAUUACACUAUCCAAAUCCAGCAGAGAUGAGAAAUCGAAUCUCAUCCCCAUCACCGACGGGUUUGGGUAUCCCUGCCCCAUCCCCAUCUCUGCAGUGAUUUUUUAUUUUAUUUUUAAUAAAAAUAGUCUUUUUAUCCCCGAGUGCAAUGUUGUAAUGCAUUAUCCAACGAAGAGAUGUUGGCGAUCGAUGCCGAAAGUGUGAGAUAUGGAAGGAGAAAAGAGAAAACUAUGAUAAGCGAGUGUCACUUGAAAGAUUGUGACUCUCACUUUAUGAGUGAAAUGAUUUAGGGUUUGGGUUUCUAUUUAUAUAAAUGAGGUAGUAAAUUGAUUUUUAACAUUCGAGACGGAUUUGGUAUGAGUUCGGGAUGAGUAUAUAUAUCGUCGUAAUCGUUUUGUAUCCAUGUUUUAAUAUCGGUGAAAACCCAAACACAUACACAAAAUUAAUCAAAGCGAAAAAAAACCCAUUAAAUUGAGUUUGAUUCAAACGGGUACUCGUAGAUGUGGGUUUUGUGUCAUGUUUAUUUAUAUUUUUCUAUUUUCCAUGUUGUAGUUUAGAAUUGAACACGAUCCUGUACGGCAUGGAGCUAUGAUAUUUUAACAACCUAAAUAAAUAAGUUGUUGGUAUGUACACCUCAAACUUGAUGGCUGAUGCUUCAAAAUCAAGCGUGACAGAUAAAUCAGGCAUAUAAAAAAAAUAAAAGAAAAUUGGAAGAAACGUGUAUAUAUGAUGAAUUGACAUUUUUUUUUUUAAUGAACUAUGGAUUCAUAACUUAGAUUGUCAAUAUAUACUCUAUCAUUUUUUCCUUAAAAAAAUAAAAAUAUACUCUAUCAUUUUUGUACUACACAUUCCGGUAACUAUCAUAAGAAAUAGUAUAUAUUUUAGACUCAUUUAAUUAAGUAUGUAUAUGAUCUUUAUUAUCGACCACGUACAUCAUUUAAUAAAUAAAUUUAUAAUGGUACUUCCUCCGUCCUAAAUUGUAUGACGUUUUAGGCAUUUGAUCACACAUAUUAAAAAAUACAAUUAAUAUUGUGUGGAAAAAAUAUAUUAUGAGUUGUUUUACAAAAUUGUUCUUAAUAAAUAAUAUGGAAAAAUAAAUGAAAGAAUUGAAAGAAGAGAUAGUAAUAAAUAGUUAAGGUUAUAAUAGAGAAAUUAAUAUUAAUGUUGCAUUGGUAUUGUAAAGUAACAUAUAAUUUGAGACAAUUUUUUUUCCUAAAGCGACAUACAAUUUGGGACGGAGGAAAUAAUUUUUAUUUAUAAUUGUGGCCGGAUGAUGUACAUGCAUGUGAAUUGUGACCAAAAUAUUUUGUUUUGAAUAAUUUGCAUUGGUAUUUUGUUUUGACCAAAAUAUUAUACUUAGGUUAAAUAAGUUUUUGGUCCUUAUAAAAUUUUUAAAUUUUAACUUUAAGUCCUUCUAAAUUUUUUCAUCAAUUUUUGGUUUUUAAAAAAUCAUCUGUCACAACUUUUGGUCUCUGCAUUUAAUUAAACUCAUGUGUACAAUUCAAGAUUUUGAAUUAUUUUUAUAAAAAUAACUCUUGCAAAAUUUUAUUUGUUUAUAUGUGUUGAAGCAAAUUUUUAUGUUAUUUUGCAGGAAAAUAUUCAGGACUCUUGGAGGUGGUUGCUCGAUCCUACACACAUGGUUACUCGUUUCGUGGGGCAUAUCGAUUCCUAACCUCGGAUGAAGAACCAAUGGCAGCUAGUGACUACAACGAUGUCUGGCAUAAACUUGUUCCUACUAAAGUUUCAAUUUUUGUUUGGUGUCUUCUUCAAAACAGAAUACCGACAAGAGCUAAUCUGGUAAGACGUUUUGUUCUCCAACCGCAAGAAAAUUUGUGUUGUGGAGGGUGUGGUAGCAUCGAGACGACGAAUCAUCUUUUUCUUAACUGUAAUGUUUUUUGAAAAGUUUGACACUUAAUUCUUCAUUGGCUUGGGAUCUCUUUUGCAUGUCCAGGGCUUAUCAAAGACCAUUAUACUCAAUUUACUCAUUUGGUGGGCAUGCCGCGAGCAUCAUAUUCUUAUUUAAAGGUUAUAUGGAUUGCUUCUAUUUGGACAAUUCGGAAGGAUAGAAAUAACUGUAUCUUUAAAAAUACGAUAAUCGAUCGUAAUGGUAUUUUGGAGAAAGUGAAGUGGACCUCCUCUUUAUGGCUAUCGUCGAAUUUUGUUCCUUUAACUUUUGGUUUUCAUGACUGUUGGUGACACCCACUACUUUGUAUUGGUAUGUAAUUGUUUUUGUUUUGUCCGGUGGUGGCACUUUUAAUUUGUGCCUUGUAUCUGUAACAGAUUUUGGGUGAUUCACCUCUUUAGCACACCUUAUGCAGGGUGAAUUGUUCCUCAUUUGAGCAAUAUAUUCCAUUUUGAUUUGUUCAAAAAAAAAUUAUGUACCCAUAUGAAAAAAUCGAUAUGAUAAAAUUUUGAAAAACUCAUGACUAUUUUUAAAAUUUUAACAUUAAAGUAGUGUUUUUUUUUUUUUUUUUACCACGUAGCUUAAUGGCCAUAAUUCAUUGUUUAAGGUAGUGUUUCUAUGAAACACCGUUAAAUAUUUACAUAGCGUCUGUCACUGAUUUUAUGCGCUUAUAUCCUUGGAAGCAAAUUUUUAUCUCUCGAUAUGAGAAAGUCGAUACAAGGAUGUAUAUAUCAAAAUAUAUAUCAACGUUAACAUAGGUGUACAAGGAUGUAUGAAAAUAAAGGGUGUCUAUGUAAUAUUUUUCAUGUUUAAAUUAUCAAUUCUUUUAAGGUGGCAUUCUAUAUUUUAUCCUGAUUUGGCAACUUAUUGAGAUUGUAGUAUUUCAAUCCACUUUGUUGAUUCUUUUUCUGGUAUAAAUCAUUUUGAAGCUAUUCAUAGUGGGAUCAGUGUAUAUAGAGUUAGGGCCUUCAGCUGUAUCUUGAUUUACUUAUUUUGUAAAACUUCAUUAGUUCUAUUUCAAGUAUUUGUAAACGAUUUCAAACUUCUCUAAAUGUAUUAUUUUAGUUUGAAUAGUGAUAUUUGAAAAAUCAUUUAAAAUAAUUUUUGUGACAAUUUUCUUUUUUUCUUUUUUUAUUGGUCAAAAACAAAAUAUAUAGUAAUGUAUGUAUGUGUGUGUGUGUGUGUGUGUGUAUGUGUAUAUAUGUGUGUGUAUAUAUAUAUAUAUAUAUAUAUAUAUAUAUAGAGAGAGAGAGAGAGAGGGGGGGGGGGGAAAAAGAAGAGAGCGAAUAAGAAGAUAAUGUGAAUAUGAAAGAGAGAGAAUUAUAAAAAAAUUGUCAUAAAAUAGUUGUAAAAGUGUCAUUUUUCUUUAGUUUUGAAGACCUUAUACUUUAGAUUAAUUCCGUUGUGGAAACUUUUAUUAGAAACUUGGUUUUAAAAACUCCUGUCGUUACAAAGAACUUUAGAGUGAUUUUGCCAAAAAAGAAUAAGUACUUUUGGUUUUGGAGAAUGAAGUAAAUAAUUAGCCUUGAUUUUAUUUUUUUGCAAGCUAAGCAUAAUUAGUAGAAAGAGGCACUGCAUCAUGAUUGCAGCAUGCAACUUUUUUCAGUUUUAUUUAAUAUUAUUUCUGAUAAUAUGUAUUUUUUUUCCAAAAUCUUCGAUGGACAAUGUAAGUAGAGAAUUAAUUAAAUAUCAUGAUUUUAGAAAAUAUUUGGGGAUCAGCUUCAUAUUAGAUGCUUCAGAUAAAAAUGACACAUCUGUAUUACUAGAUUACAAUGUGAAGACACUGACUCAAAAUAUGGUUUGUCAUACUGAAAGAGCCACUGCACUUUUAUGUAGCAAUUCUCACAGUAUUAAGUCACGUAACUUGCUCAUCAAUCAUCAUCCCUUUACAUUUUAACUGAAGACAUUCAAAUUUUACCAUUACUUUUCAGUACCUUCCCACACUAUAUUAGGAUACAUAUUUAAGCAACUUAAAUUUGCACACAGCUGAACUAAUUUAAUUGAGCUCAUCGAAUUUCUCAUAUGUACGUUUCGUCGUCAUCAUUUUCUGUUGUUCUUUCCCUUCUUGAAAUCAUGUUCAUCAAGCUCUUUGUCGCUCGGCCAACUGCUCUUGAAGUCUUUCUUGCAGCUCCUGCCUGCAACAACGGGUUGCAGAGAUAUUUCGGGCAAAUUCGUUCUCUCUUCAAUCAUGGUUGUAUCAAAAUAAACAAUAAUCAGACCAACAAUAGAGGAUAGACAAGUCAAUCUGUGUAUCUGGGAAUUGGAAUGAUGCAGCCACUGCAGUAACAAGAUCAAUACCGUUGGAUGAAUGUCUAAUGACUCACAUUCUAAGUAUGUGGUUAAAAUCGUUUUUUGGAGGUUGAAAUAUAAGUCAUAUGAUCUCUAUCCAACCAGUCUAGUAUCAGUUGUGAACCCAAAUCAAUAUUCAAUGGAGACUCCAAUACUAGAUAUCUUUUUCUUGCUUAAGAAAAACAACCACUAAGUAGUUCAAUUUUUACCAUUAAAUGGAUUGGCAUUCACUGCUCUGUAUAGUGUAUACCGAUGUUAAAAAUAAGAAAAUGAAUCCAUUCGUGUGGCUAGAGAUUAAUGUUUGAAUGAUAUACAUUUCAUCAAAAUAUCAGUCUAAAUGGAUGUAUUAAACAGAAAAGUAAAAUAUAAUUUGAAAUAUGUUACACAUAUAUAUGUUCACGACCAAAAAAGGCCAAGUGUCAUUGAAUAUAACGUGGACGAUGUCAUAUCCAUAUGAAGACUAUACCCUAUGAGGAGAUAUUCCGGUAUUUGGGGGAUGUAUUUGUUGUUGAGGGAAGGUGUACCGCCACUUGCCAUAGAGGACGAAGAGGCAAUACGAGUAUGUGCAUGACAUUCCCAAACAUCCAUCAUUGUAAAUGUUGUUAGUGUACCAACUAUAGUGAUGAACAAAAUAGCAAGUGUACUAUAUAGUCGUCAAUGAGUAAAAUUUAUAAUGUUCGAAGUUUGUAUCCUCAGGGAUUGUGUUAUUUCAACUUAUCUAAUGCGAUGAGAUGACUAGGUUUUAAGUAGCACUUAUCAAAAUGAUUGAUUGUUUUAUUUGAGGGAGGGAGGGAGGGAGAGGGACUGAGGGAGAGGGAGGGGGAGAGAGGGAGGGAGGGAGAGAGAGAGAGAGAGAGAGAGAGGCGACUAUGUCGUGUUAGAUUCACUUCCCUAAACUAUUUAUGUAACUACAAACUAGAAAUAUACUGCUCACUGUUACUAAUCGCUUGAUUUUAAGACAUUUGAUCAAAAUAGUUAGGUCAUUGUCUUGGUCACUAACCAUCUUUAAUGAUUACUAUUCUCUAAUGCCUUAGGUGAAUACAUGAGCAUCGAAGGUUCAAGUAAGCUAAAUUAAGUAUACUAUUAUUUUUAGAAUAUGUCUAUGCUAACCAAUAAUUGAACAAUUUAUACCGGUUCUUGAAGGAAAAUCGAAUUAACAAAAUAAACUGCGGAAUAAAAAUUUCGAUUUUCUUUCCUUUGAUUAUUAUGAAUUUGACAAGAAUCAGUGAUUCGAUUGUUACCUCGAAGUGUGGAAUCUGGAAUCUCAAUCACAGCUAAGCAAGCAGCAGAGCCUCUAGCAAGUCCACAUGAACGGUACUCCUCCAAAUCUCGGUGCUAGCCAAGGAAUCAGAAGUUUCAAAGAACUAGGGUUUCUCAAAAACGUGUAACAAAGACUUCAGCACUAGGGUUCUAUUUAUAUAACUCCUAGUGUGCUCUGCAAGUCAAAAGUCACUAUCAGGCUUCCGUAAGCCUAAUAACGAGUUUAGCAUUUUACCCAUUAUAUAAGUCAUACUUAUAUUUCUCUUUUGACCAUUCUUUUGUGUGUGACCCUAUAGGUUGUGUGACCCUAUAGGUUCUAGUCACAUUGGCAAUAAUAUUAAGUCUAAUAUUUAAUACUAUAAACAAUGAGUGGUAUCUAGCAACACAUCAUUGCUAUCCAAGUGACAAGAAUGUCAAGUGAUCUGACGAAACUUUUUCCAUGAUAAUAUUUAUGUGUACAAUUACUCCUUUGUCCUAAUAUCUAUAUUGAUCACAAGGCAUAGAUAUUGUCACCCUUGUAUAGAUCAAUAUUUAUAUUUCUUGAUCUUGAAAUAUACUGAAUAACUAAUAUGUCCAAUAUCUCAUAUUGACUUAGUUCGGCAUGGUCAUGCAAUUUUACAGUCAUAUUUCAUCAAAAGUCCUAAAGAUAUAUCUCCUGUUAUGAGGAGGGACAAAUCUCAUCUAGGACACUCAUGUCCCUCAGCAUGAUUCAUCAAGUACUCAUUAACCAACGUUAUGGUUAUCCUUUUACAAACAACAUUAGAAUGACAACAAAGCACUUGAGUCCACAUCUAGGGAUCAUAGUGGUUUCAGGUCUAAGAGUGAUAUACACUAUUAUCAUUGUGAGAAUAUCUUAUGACAUUUUCAUAACAUACUAUGUAGUACUCUCAUGGUGGGUCAAUCUAGUAUAAAUAUUACUCUUGUAUAGACUUAAUAUCUCAUAUCUAUGACCCAUGAGAUGUGGUCAUCAGUCUAUAUACAUAAUAGUCUCGAUGCUUUAUUAUUAUCCCAAUUCAUAUUAACGCUUGACUAUAGAUACAUUUAAGAAUAGUGUUCUUUAUGUUAAUGUAAUCUCAUGAUUAAGUCACACUUAAUAUACUAUUACACGAACUAUCUAUUCUAGGAACUUUAUUAACAUUACAACAAAUAUAAUAAAGAGUAUCAUAUAUUAAUUGAUAAUAAAAGUCAUGAUACAUAACAUAAGUUUAACAUAAAUUAUUGGCCUCUAGGGCUUACACCAACAGUUCUACUAUCAAGGCUAUGGUUAGUAGUCCUUGGUUUCAUAUCGAUUUAUGAACAAUAUGUAAUCAUAAAUACCAUUAAAUACAAGUAUAAUUGAAUAAAAUAACAAAAACAGUCAACUGAAUUUCAUAGAAUGAUUUAAAGUUACAAAAAUCAAAUAAUCGUAAAAAGUUCCUCUUAAUUUAGCUACUCAUGUUGUAUAAACACAUAUUAAUACAUAUGAAUAGACAAACAUAAGAAAAGAAUCACCGGUGGAUGAUUCAUCCGCUCCAUAAGUGCUUUGAUGGAUGCAAAAUCGCACUUUCUAUGUCGUCUGCUCGUCAAAAAGUGUCUUCUCAUUGACCUAGGGGUCAAAUAUAUAUAGGCGUGCAUUUCCCAAGGUUUUAGGGAAAGUCGGCCCACGACACAAUAAGUAAUCUAGCGAGGCGAGCCUUGAGGAGACUAAUUUUGGUGUUUUUCCAUCUGAGACUCGCGACAGUGCAAGACCGAUCCCGACAAUUUCUUCAGAUGCUCGCGAUGCAGCCUUUUAGCCCCCGACGCGAGCCAGUGUUGAUUUUUGUUUUCUGAAUCCGCAAGAUGCAACUCAUAGCACACAUCGUGAGUGAUGACGAGGUUGAUCAUGCUUCACUUUAUGCUCCAUUCUCAUGGCUUCAAGUAUCCUUUCAAGUUCUUGUCUUUUCAUGAAUUUCUUUCGAAUUCUCCACUAAAAUGCACUUAAACAAACUGCUUAUACUCUAAAUCGACUCUAAAAGAUGACUAAAAACCCAAUAUAAGAUUAAAGUUGAUAUUUUUUUAUUUUUUUUUUAGGUUUAAUGAAAUUGUUACCUAAAUAAUUUUCGAAUGAAUGAAAUUGUUUUUGAUGAUUUGUGUUUUAUUAUAUAUAUUUGGAGAUGAAUGAAUGUAUAGAUAUAUGAAAGAAUAAAUAAAUAAAAUGUAUGAAUGAAGGAAUAUAUUAAUGAAUGAUUGAAUGAAUGUAGUAUCCAAAACAAACAUAAAAAACUCAAACUUUAAAACAGUGCAAGUUUUUUCUCUGUAACUAAUAGUUAGAUGUCGUAGGUGUCAACAAUAGUUAACUAUUGUUCCUGAAGCAGUAAUUUAUUAUUUAUGAGAAAUGAUAUUUGUACAACCAUUUUGUGACAACUUCUUAACAAUUUUCUCUCUUAUACUAACAUUAUGUUUUUAUUCUCUCUCUUCUUUUUUCUCUCUAUUGUUUUUGACCAAUGAAAUUAGAGGAAAAAAAAAGUUAUCAUAAAAGUUGUAUGAAAUAGUUGUUCAAAUAUCAUUACUCAUUAUUUAUAGACCAACAAAAACAAUUAAUUGAUGUUGGGGUAUUGUCGUCAGUUUAGGGUGCUUCCAAACAAACUAUGAGUACCAAAAGAGCAAUUUUCACUCCCGUUUUCCCUUAUCACGUGGCAACUUGGAUUUGGCCCAAUACUAAAAUGUUUUUCGGCAGUUAAGUGCCGAGGAAAUAAAAAAUUGGCUGCAGUUAACUGCCGAAGAAAUGUUUCAUCAGAUGAAACAGCCACCUGCUCCUCCUACACCUCAUCAACUUCCAUACCACUUCCAUCUAAUCUGCCAAAUCCAAUAUUUUUUUCAUCAAAUCUUGCUCCAAAAUCAUUUAAGCAUCAAGCAUAGGAGGUAUCAACACCCUUUUGACGUAAAAAAACAGGUAUUACGCAUUUUAUAUAUACAUUUUACUGAUUAUUAUGUUUCGUUUAAUUUCAUCCUGAUGUAUGAUUUUUUCAUAAAGAUUUUGUGAAGUGAAACAUGUAUGAGGUUGCAAAAAUUGAAGGCCGUGUUAGAUACUCUUCUUUUAAAAAGAGAAUUAAGGUUAUGAUGACGCCGACCGACUCUCUUGAUGAUUUGAAGACACAAGUUAACACUUAUUUUGAGCAUAUUGGUGAAACUCAAUAUACACGUCACUUAUUUUGCUCAGAUGCCUUGCAUUGACCACCUAGGAGUAGAUAAACAUAAAGAUGAAGACAACUUAUGUACCUUGGCUUAUUCAGGGCGAUAAUGACGUCGGAUUUAUGUUUCAGAAUAUGGUGGAAGAUAAUAUAUUAUAUUUGUAUUUUCGUUCCAUUUGCAACUUCAUAGAAUGUCACCAGAGAUUUCAUUUAACGAUAUGUAAUGUGUUGUAGUGUGUUGUUUAAUUAUGGCACUCUUUAAUGUUUUGAUAAAUUUCAAACAUCCGUGUAAUUUUAACUCUACGUCGGAUUGAUUUAAUUAUGGAUAAUUGUAAAAGAUAAUACAUUUUUCUUGUUUAUGACUUAGUAUAAAUGUUGUACGAAUAGUAUUGCCUCUUGAAAUGCUCUGGUUGAAUUUCAUGUAAAAACUGGUCGAAAAUGGCUUGGUUCAAUUAUGCAAAACCUAUUGUCUGCAUAAUUGUUUUCCUCAGCAGUUAACUGCUGAUAGAAUACUAAAAUCGGCUGCAGUUUACUGCCAAAGUUACUUCGACAGUUAACUGCCAAAAAAUAAUGAAAUCGGCGGCAGUUAACUGUCGAGGGAUAUUUACGUCUUUUAUAUGUGUGUUUCAGCGUUAUAACUUGUGUGAACAACAAUUUUCAUUCUUUUAUUCUUCUUUCUUGAUUUCUUUUCUUUUCUAAAAAAAUGGUGCGUCCCACUUUGGGAGCAAACCCACCCAACAAUCUUUUUUGUUCCUAGAUUAUAAAAAUUGUUUUUUUAAGAAGUUAAACUAAACCAUCUUAAUUGAUAUCGAUGAGAAUCAACCCUGAAACUUUGAGGGAAAUAUAUUCCAAAUAAUAAAUCAACAUCACCAGACCAACUCAAAUGUAAUUUAAGUUUAGCAAGUUGAAAUGACAAAUGCAUUAAUAAUAGUAAGCCAUGUGGAUUUUAAGUUUCUCUUAAUAUUUUCCGUAGAAAAACAGAAGAUCAUUGUGCAUAGAAUAAUAGACAUUGAUUAUAGUUAGAACUUCAUGGGUAGAUAAUAAUAUAUUUAACAAAACCUUUUUUUUUGUCAGAUAUUUAACAAAACCUGAAAUGUGGCAACAAAUUUUCAUAAACAAGUUGGUAUCUAUUUAGUUGUUUUAAGUUUAGAGAAUUUGGUAAGUGGGAGAGGGAUCAUCUAAAAAUAUUUUUAUAGAUGAUCCCUGUAAAAAAAAAAAAAAAUUGAAAAAUAUUUUAAAAAAAAACCGAAAAUGACUUAUAUUGUAAAACACUUUUAACCCUUCUAUAAUUUGAGAUGAUGGUGAAAUAUGAGAAGAAAUGAUAGUGAGAUAAGAGAAAAAAAAGCUGUGAGUCUUGUGUAUUCUUCUUUUUCACACUGUUUUUCUCACCAACCCACGUACUCCAUUAUAUAUCAGCAAGUAAAAGAAGUUGCUAUCAUUUUGUGAAAGUAGAAACUGAAAAUCCUAUUAAUUAGGAUUGACCAAUUAAAAGCCAACGUUAUAAUUGACAAAGCAAGAAACGUGCAUCAGACUAUUAAUACCUGAUAAUGCAAUUAAUUCUUUUAAAAGAUAUUUAAAAUAAUAUUACAACUUUAAAAUAAACUAUAAUCUAAAAUAUCCAACAAGUACAAUUUUUUUUUUUUUUUUUGGUAGAUAGACGAAAUGGCAAAGCCAUUAUAAACUCACACACACAAGUGGAGGUACCGGGGUUCGAACCCCGAUCAUGGCAUCCGGCCUAACAAUUUCGGCAUUUUGCCAGUUGAGCUAGGACUUCUGGAUCCAACAAGUACAAUUUAAAGAGUAGCAAUAAUUAUUGCAUCAAUGGAAACAUAAUCUUGUAGAAAUUGAAAAUGCCAAACAUAGUUGCUUGCAUGGCUUAAAAACCAUAAUUAGGUGGUGGUAAUAGAGAAACUAGCAUACUAGGGUGGUGGCAAUGGAGAGACUUUAGUAUUGAAUUUAAUUUGUAUCACUCCAUAGCUGCUUUGGAUAUGAUUGCAGCUGCUUUCUCAAUGCAGAACUUCAAUUUAUAUUCAUCUAUGAACCCCUUUUGGGUUUUCAUAGCGAUUCUUAAUAUUUUCUCGUAGCUAAUAAUUGUAAUUGUUAAAUUCUGCAUCAACACACAAGAGGUAAUUAAAGUGUUUGAACUUAUAUUCAUGAGAUCUUGUCUUAUCCAACCCAAGUAGAUAUGAAAGUGUAUGUAUGGUGGGUGUGGCAUAUAUAUCCUCAUUUUAUAAUCCACUAAAUAUAUACAAUUGGGAACGUGUUAUUUGAAUAUCAAAAUACAUACAUACCCUAUAUAUGUUUAUAUUUAUCUCUUCAUGUGUAGAAAAAUAUACCCUACAACUUACACACAAAAAUUAAAGAAUAUUGAACAAUUUAUUGUCAAUACCCAUUUCACAAUAAAUAGCCACUAUAUAUAUGUAUGUGAUGUGUAGUGGGAAUCAGCCAAACUCAUUUAUCAGUCAAAAAGUAUUGUUAUCAAGAAUAUGUUGAGGCAAAAACAAAAUAAAAUAGAAAAUAUGAGUAAAGAAAAGAAAAUUAUAUGCAUGAUUUGAUUAACGGUGAGUUUAACUAAAUCAUACCAUGAUAUUAUCAUUUUAACAAAAGUUAUAAUUCUAAUAUUUAAUAUCUAAUUAUGAUAGUUUUUUCAAAAAAAAAAAAAAUCUAAUUCUAAAAGUUAAUGAACAAUAUCUCUUAAACUUACAAAGUCAAGCUUUUGCCACUAAGCUGACAUAUCUUAGACUUAUUUCUUCUAUUUUGUAUUACAAAAAUAUUAUAUCACACACUUUCACUUGGACAACAAAUUACUAAUCAAACAAAAAUCAUUAGUUAGGAAAUUCAGUUAUAUUUUAUUUCAUGACGAGAAGAUUUUUAUUUAAGUAACACGAUCAUUGUAAAAUUUUACUAAUUUAAUAACGGUAUGUAUUUUUGCGAGUCGUAAUACUUAAAAAAAUGUUUAUUUUAUCCUAUGUGUGUUAAUAAUUUUACUAAAUCCAGUUAAUUUCAUCCGCAUGUGCAUCUAUUAAUUUAAGGGUACUUAAAAUAUGGUUUAUUUUAUGACUAUUACUUUUCUCAUCCUACCUACUUCUCACGCGCCUUAGUUUUUUUUUACCAAAAUGUCCAUGGGGUUUCAGAUUCUAUAAUCCAAACACAUCUGAAAUGUGUUCGAUUUAUAGAAUUUGAAAUACACUUAAAUAUAAGCAGUAAUCACAAUCUCUCCCAAUUCAGCAGUUUUGAAUUAAGCUUUUAAAAACAACAAAAAAACAAAGUAAAAAAUGAUAAAAUCUGUCAAAUAAAAUAAAUAUCAAAAUAUCAAAAAAAAAAAAAAUCAAAUAAAGAUAAUGCAAUUUGUUUGGAUUUUUUUUUAGAAUAUAAAAAAAAAAUCAAAUAUGGGUCUAGACAAUAGAAUUUUGGAUUUUGAGCACGUUUUGGAGCAAUCCGAGGAAAUAGUCUGAAAACUGAUUUUUCGACUAAGCCACAAUGGGAACAAUUAACAAUGACUUGAAACAAUAGGAUGAUCAUUAUGAUUCUUAAAUUGGUUAUUUAUCUUACAAACAACUUAGUCUUUGUGCUGAUACAAUUUAGAUUAUAUAAUUCAAACUGUUUUCCUCAUAAUUUUUGGCGCAAUAGGGUGUUUAAGGGGUGUUCGAAUUUUAUAAUCCGAACAAAAAAGGUACGCGCCCCAUUUUUUUGGGUGUUCGGNGGUCCCUGCAAAAUAUUUUGUUUUUGGAAAUAGUCCCUGCAGGGACUAUUUCCAAAAACAAAAUAUUUUGCAGGGACCAAAAACAACAAAAUUUUUUUGCAGGGACUAAAACCAAAACGAGGCAUAUUUGCAGGGACCAAAACCAUAUUUUAGCCUUUAUUAUAUUUGUUUGUAUCCAUUAAGAUAUUCCUUCUAUACCAGUCUAUGGUGAAUUUUAUUUGUGGAUACUAUGCAUACAUGAUUUUGAUCAUCAUUAAUCAUAUGUCUAAACCGGACAACGUCGGAUUAAAAACACUAGUGUUAUUAAAUCCACUCUCGUCAAUUCAAAUAUGAAAAAACAAAAUACAUGCAUACCUCAGGUCCACCUGUCGCGGUGAAAUACAAUCCAUAUACUGGAUGAUUUGCCAAAGUCAUCUUCUCUACCGGUCCUACGAGGUUAGACAUUAGAACACUUGAGUUCCCAAUUGUGUUGUAGAUUAUUUUAGCUACUGCCUGAAACACAAACCCAAUAAAAUAGAGAACAUUAAUAAAUCAAAGAGGCUCCAAACUAAGAAGAAUAAUGGUGUUAAAAUUUCAUGUUUUAUCUUUCUACUCGUAGACUCUUUGCUUUCAAAAUUAUUAAUUUAUGAAUGAAAAUAUUAAUGUGGGACACACCUCAGGUCCUCUUAAUCUCAUCUCCAAAUCCAUGAGCAUAGCUACAAGAUAAACACUGAAAGAACGUCUCUUCCUCUUGAUUAGUUCACGGGAAUUCCAAACAAACUCAAGAGGAUUGGAGAUUACUGAUUGACUUACUUUAGGUAUUGGUAUUUGUAAGAAAGAAAUUUGAUUUCCCCAAAGACCUUUGCACUCUGGUUUUUGCAUUUCUGUCAAUGAUUGGUAACCUCCAAUAUUUCUUGUGUUGAGCAUUACCACUGCUGUGGAAUUUGCUCUUUUUGUUUUCUCAUUCAUCUCUUUCAUGUAAAGCCUAAUACCAUAGAAGACCAUUCCACAAACCACAUCGUUUAUAGUCUGCACCGUUUAUACAUUCAUGCCAAUUAGUUAAUCAAACUUAAUCCAAUGAUUUAAUUUUUUGUAUAAUAAUCCAAUGAUAUGAUUACGUGUUAAAUAUAUUUAAUUUAUUUUCAUAAUUGACAAAACUUGAUUUGUAACCAAAAAAAAAAAACUUGAUUAUGUCAGCAAGUUUUGAUUAUCAAAUGUUUUCCACCACUUUUUGUCCCUGUUUUUAAUUCAACUCAUGUGUAAGGACUAUUCUUCGAAGACAAGCAAAAUGUAGGGAGAAAAGAACAUAUUUAAUCCUAAAAUAAUCGGGAUUCCACUAGCCGUCACAUCAACAUUCCGUUAGAUAAUUAACAACAGAGACUAAUUUUAAUAACGGAGAUAAAAUAUGAGGAUUUUAAAAAUAUUUAAUGAAAUGUAAGAACUGUUCUUCAAAGGUAGGACUAAAAACAUAUUUAACCCAAAAAAUUUAGAUUAUAUUUUUUGUUAUAUUUUUGGUGUCAUUGAAAAAGAUAAUCAUGAUUAGUUUGGUCUAUUAUAACUUGAAAGCAAUAAACAUUUAUAUUUUUAGCUUUAAUCAAAAUCAAAAUUUCAUAAAAAAACAAUGUUCAUAAUUUUCAAACGUUAAUGCAAUAAAAAGAGUAAAAAAUAAAAAUAAUCUUACCACUUUGAGUUUUGUUUUUAUUUCUUUGAUUUGAUCAAGUGAUAGUGAUAUGGUUGACAAGGUAACAGGAUGAGAUUCAUUUCCUUCAUAUCCUGACCUUAUAGGUGUUUUGUCAUCUUCAAUCAUUGUUGUCUUCAAUAUGCUUGAUCCAAAAUCUGAUAUGGAGCUAAAAAAGGAUGAGAUAUCUAUACAUAACUUCUUAAACAAACUUUUCUUUGCAUAUUUUGAAUCUAAUUGUGGUCUUUUUGAAGGAAAAGAUAGAGGAAGAGAAGGAUCAUCAGCUCUUUGAAGACAAGAAAGAAGAGCACCCAUGAGAGAGUAACCAUCACCAAGUCCAUGAUGAAGUUUGAAUAUUAUGGUGCAAGCAGCAUUGGUUGUUGGAUAAUUGAUAACAUGAAUUUCCCAAAGUGGUUUAUCUUGUGGUGUUUUUUUAGCUAGAAUACUUGUUACAUAGUCACUAAGAUAAUUGUCAUAUAAUUCACAUGAUGAUGAAUUUAUGGUUUCAGGAAAUAUGGGAAUCUUUAAGUGUUCUUCAGGCUUCACUUCGACCUUUUGCCAUCUCAUCUCACCCUCUUUGUCUUUUACCUGUGCAAAUUAAUUAAUAGUAUCAAAAUAAAAAUAAUUAGUGAUAAUAAAAGGUCAAUUUUGAUUAUUGAAGAAGACUAGAUUCGAUAGAAAUUGACUAGCCUUAAUAUGCGUUAUAUUAAUUAAAAUUUGGUAGGUAACAUGUAAGUAAUAUUAAUACAGAAGAGAUAUAGAAUGUAACCAUAAUUGAGGAGAAGCGUGGGUUGAUAGGGAUGAAGACAUCUUUGAGCAAAGGUAUAGCUAAUGAAUUAUCAAAUGG
This 16451-nucleotide long non-coding RNA is filed under the name Medicago truncatula (barrel medic). Its description in RNAcentral is "long non-coding RNA (MTRU_LNC002058)". The record is from RNAcentral. Lineage: Eukaryota; Viridiplantae; Streptophyta; Magnoliopsida; Fabales; Fabaceae.